AAUAAAUAAUGCGCUUCGGUGCGAUGUGGUCCGUGCGAGUGCAUUGUGCAUGGGGCUGAAAAUGAGCCAGUCAGACUGGACGGUCUGGCAGUGUGCUAGGGACGUAAGGGGUGUGAGAGUGGGAGGUGUUGAGGUGGGCGUGGAUGCGACUACAGUGCAUUUUUCACUGUGCAAACACGCUGCACACAACACCACCCCCUCGCAUGCUCACUGUCUUGUCGCUGCCGGCGCCAACCAGCCCAUCAACAUUAACA
Molecule: unclassified non-coding RNA, 254 nt
Filed under: uncultured Rozellomycota
Lineage: Eukaryota; Fungi; Rozellomycota
Description: uncultured Cryptomycota sequence contains ITS2
Source: RNAcentral